GAUGAACGCUGGCGGCGUGCCUAAUACAUGCAAGUCGAGCGAACGGACGAGAAGCUUGCUUCUCUGAUGUUAGCGGCGGACGAGUGAGUAACACGUGGAUAACCUACCUAUAAGACUGGGAUAACUUCGGGAAACCGGAGCUAAUACCGGAUGAUAUUUUGAACCGCAUGGUUCAAAAGUGAAAGACGGUCUUGCUGUCACUUAUAGAUGGAUCCGCGCUGCAUUAGCUAGUUGGUAAGGUAACGGCUUACCAAGGCAACGAUGCAUAGCCGACCUGAGAGGGUGAUCGGCCACACUGGAACUGAGACACGGUCCAGACUCCUACGGGAGGCAGCAGUAGGGAAUCUUCCGCAAUGGGCGAAAGCCUGACGGAGCAACGCCGCGUGAGUGAUGAAGGUCUUCGGAUCGUAAAACUCUGUUAUUAGGGAAGAACAUAUGUGUAAGUAACUGUGCACAUCUUGACGGUACCUAAUCAGAAAGCCACGGCUAACUACGUG
This 497-nucleotide ribosomal RNA is filed under the name uncultured bacterium. RNAcentral describes it as "partial 16S ribosomal RNA". It matches the Rfam family "Bacterial small subunit ribosomal RNA", at positions 28 to 507 of the family's 1533-position model. The record is from RNAcentral.